RNAcentral lists this long non-coding RNA (289 nucleotides) under Gossypium raimondii (Peruvian cotton). RNAcentral describes it as "long non-coding RNA (GRAI_LNC004130)". The record is from RNAcentral. Lineage: Eukaryota; Viridiplantae; Streptophyta; Magnoliopsida; Malvales; Malvaceae.
AUUCUCCUUCAAUCUAAGUAUUUGAUGGAAAGUUAUGCCUCCAUCGCUAGAACUCAUCACCAAAUUGAGCCUCCAUCAUCUCAUCACACCAUACAACUCCCUAGAUUAAGAACCUAGUAACCCAACAACACAUUAGUACCUAUCCUUUCUUCAUUCAUUCAAAAUCCUAAAAAUUCAACAACCAAAAAAAUAGAAAAGAUAACAUAAAAAAAAAAAACCAAAGAAUAAAGAUCCUAAAUACCCACAAGCCAUUGUGGUCAGUUUUAUUUAGUUCCUUUCCUUUCACGAG